Molecule: transfer RNA, 295 nt
Filed under: uncultured Microcystis sp.
Lineage: Bacteria; Bacillati; Cyanobacteriota; Cyanophyceae; Chroococcales; Microcystaceae
Description: partial 16S-23S ribosomal RNA intergenic spacer
Rfam family: tRNA (bases 131-204)
Source: RNAcentral
GGGAGACCUAAUUCGGGUAUAAGACGAAAAAAAAGUAGUCCCUACCAAGAAUCAAUCCCAAAAGGUCGGAACGAGGUAUGAGGCUUUCAAACUAGGUUCUGGGUUCAUAAAAGACCUGAAUCAGGAACAAGGGCUAUUAGCUCAGGUGGUUAGAGCGCACCCCUGAUAAGGGUGAGGUCCCUGGUUCGAGUCCAGGAUGGCCCACCUGCACAGGUGGCAAAAACAAGAGAAGCGAGGAAUCAGCACCUUAUCUUGUAUACAUAUAUAAGAGAGAAUGCUGGCUCUGAGUACAGAG